This is a non-coding RNA of Talaromyces islandicus, 72 nucleotides long. The record is from the annotation of a GenBank genome assembly. NCBI's taxonomy places the organism in Eukaryota, Fungi, Ascomycota, Eurotiomycetes, Eurotiales, Trichocomaceae.
GGGCGCUUGGUCUAGUGGUAUGACGCCUCAUUUGCAUUGAGGAGGUCCCGGGUUCAAUUCCCGGAGUGUCCA